RNAcentral lists this ribosomal RNA (445 nucleotides) under uncultured bacterium. RNAcentral describes it as "bacterial SSU rRNA". It matches the Rfam family "Bacterial small subunit ribosomal RNA", at positions 338 to 795 of the family's 1533-position model. The record is from RNAcentral.
CCUACGGGUGGCAGCAGUGGGGAAUAUUGCACAAUGGGCGCAAGCCUGAUGCAGCGACGCCGCGUGGGGGAUGACGGCCUUCGGGUUGUAAACCUCUUUCAGCACAGACGAAGCGCAAGUGACGGUAUGUGCAGAAGAAGCACCGGCCAACUACGUGCCAGCAGCCGCGGUAAUACGUAGGGUGCGAGCGUUGUCCGGAAUUACUGGGCGUAAAGAGCUCGUAGGUGGUUUGUCGCGUUGUCCGUGAAAUCUCACAACUCAAUUGUGGGCGUGCGGGCGAUACGGGCAGACUGGAGUACUGCAGGGGAGACUGGAAUUCCUGGUGUAGCGGUGGAAUGCGCAGAUAUCAGGAGGAACACCGGUGGCGAAGGCGGGUCUCUGGGCAGUAACUGACGCUGAGGAGCGAAAGCGUGGGGAGCGAACAGGAUUAGAUACCCUAGUAGUC